RNAcentral lists this long non-coding RNA (662 nucleotides) under Mytilus galloprovincialis (Mediterranean mussel). The record is from RNAcentral. Lineage: Eukaryota; Metazoa; Mollusca; Bivalvia; Mytilida; Mytilidae.
GUUUUAUUGUCAUGAAUGACACCAAUUUGUCAUCUCCAUUGGUAACCAGUAUAUAAAUCAGAGAUUAACGUCGUAAUGUAACUAAACAUCAGUAAGUAAAAUAUAUUGGGAUGCCUAAAUAUAAAGAAUAGAGAAAGAAUAAUGAAUAAGAUAAAUAAAAUGUAUAGAAAAGUAACAUAACAAUUUAAAGAAUACAGAAAUAAUCAACACCCCAAUCCGGACCCUCAUGGUAUACACGAUAAUCUGGAUGGAGAUACAGAAUAUAAAUAAAAGAUAAGGACAGUAGAGAGUGAUGCAUUGCUAAAAAAAGAGAGAAAAAAAAUUGUUUAAGAAUAAAGACAUGAAACCACCCUGGGUGUUGAAACAGUAACGGAUUGCGAUGUACUCAUAUUGGUAACCCGAAUAAUUCAGUCGUUAUAUUCCGCUGAUCUACGAAGGCUACAUGUGUGGGUGAAAAUCGGACACGGAAAGGGCUUGAAUUAUUCGAGUUAUCAUAUUGGUAACAAAUGCUUGAAGUUUACAUGUGGACAACUGCAGUUCCCACUGCACAUAUGUAGAAAAGGAACUAAAGGAAAUAACAUGAAUUUAAACUUAAUACAACCAAAUGUAGCUGCAUUCGCUCCUUUCCAUUUACUUCUUUAGAAUGAUUUAUAAACAACAGA